CAGAUGGACCCGCGGCGCAUUAGCUAGUUGGUGAGGUAACGGCUCACCAAGGCGACGAUGCGUAGCCGACCUGAGAGGGUGAUCGGCCACACUGGGACUGAGACACGGCCCAGACUCCUACGGGAGGCAGCAGUAGGGAAUCUUCCGCAAUGGACGAAAGUCUGACGGAGCAACGCCGCGUGAGUGAUGAAGGUUUUCGGAUCGUAAAACUCUGUUGUUAGGGAAGAACAAGUACCGUUCGAAUAGGGCGGYACCUUGACGGUACCUAACCAGAAAGCCACGGCUAACUACGUGCCAGCAGCCGCGGUAAUACGUAGGUGGCAAGCGUUGUCCGGAAUUAUUGGGCGUAAAGCGCGCGCAGGCGGUUUCUUAAGUCUGAUGUGAAAGCCCCCGGCUCAACCGGGGAGGGUCAUUGGAAACUGGGGAACUUGAGUGCAGAAGAGGAGAGUGGAAUUCCACGUGUAGCGGUGAAAUGCGUAGAGAUGUGGAGGAACACCAGUGGCGAAGGCGACUCUCUGGUCUGUAACUGACGCUKAGGCGCGAAAGCGUGGGGAGCGAACAGGAUUAGAUACCCUGGUAGUCCACGCC
Molecule: ribosomal RNA, 588 nt
Filed under: Bacillus sp. AS34
Lineage: Bacteria; Bacillati; Bacillota; Bacilli; Caryophanales; Bacillaceae
Description: bacterial SSU rRNA
Rfam family: Bacterial small subunit ribosomal RNA
Source: RNAcentral